This 436-nucleotide ribosomal RNA is filed under the name Stutzerimonas stutzeri. RNAcentral describes it as "bacterial SSU rRNA". It matches the Rfam family "Bacterial small subunit ribosomal RNA", at positions 335 to 763 of the family's 1533-position model. Lineage: Bacteria; Pseudomonadati; Pseudomonadota; Gammaproteobacteria; Pseudomonadales; Pseudomonadaceae. The record is from RNAcentral.
UCCCUUCGGGGGGGGUGCAGUGGGGAAUAUUGGACAAUGGGCGAAAGCCUGAUCCAGCCAUGCCGCGUGUGUGAAGAAGGUCUUCGGAUUGUAAAGCACUUUAAGUUGGGAGGAAGGGCAGUAAGUUAAUACCUUGCUGUUUUGACGUUACCGACAGAAUAAGCACCGGCUAACUUCGUGCCAGCAGCCGCGGUAAUACGAAGGGUGCAAGCGUUAAUCGGAAUUACUGGGCGUAAAGCGCGCGUAGGUGGUUCGUUAAGUUGGAUGUGAAAGCCCCGGGCUCAACCUGGGAACUGCAUCCAAAACUGGCGAGCUAGAGUAUGGCAGAGGGUGGUGGAAUUUCCUGUGUAGCGGUUAAAUUUUAUAUAUAGGAAGGAACACCAGUGGCGAAGGCGACCACCUGGGCUAAUACUGACAUUGAAGUUUAAAACGCUUA